This 719-nucleotide long non-coding RNA is filed under the name Panax ginseng (ginseng). Its description in RNAcentral is "long non-coding RNA (PGIN_LNC010052)". Lineage: Eukaryota; Viridiplantae; Streptophyta; Magnoliopsida; Apiales; Araliaceae. The record is from RNAcentral.
CAAUAUCAGUAAAAUCCAAUCCAACCUAAGAAUAAUAAACUGAAAAAAUAAAAAGGCUAAAACCCAAUUUGGGGAAGACCGGGACUGAAUUUUUUUUUUAUAGAUUUUUACCAAAUUGGAUUUGCAGGAAACUAAAUCCCUUUCCUUUUCCAUAAUUACAGAUCUCCAAUGACGAUUACUUAUCGAAAUCUUCUCAUGCCUUCCUUAAAUCUUCUCGCGUCUUCCUUUCGUCGUGACGACAUUGACUAAGACGAAUUUCUGGUGUUUAGUGUCGAAUUUUCAUUUAAAACGUCCAUGGAAGAUUCAUACAGAUCAUUCACAUCGUUAACUUCAAAAUACGAGGCAAAUUUAGGUUCCGACACCGCCCAAAUAACCUCCGACACUAAUCUCCCAUGGCAGAUCUGAAUUUUGGGAUGAAGAUGAAGAUCUGGGUUUGGAUUCUUGGUUCUUCCUCUACUCAUGAUAGUUUCUUUCUCUACUAAUGAGAUUUCUGAAAUUCUGAGUUUGGGUUUGGGUUUGGGUUUGGGUUUGAGUUUUUGGUUCUUCCUCUUAGAGAGAAAAUGAAGUGAGUUUGAGAUUGGACAAAAUUUUGAAGAUGAUAAACUUAUUGGGGUUUUUAGUUUGAGAUUUCGAGCUUCAUGAAUGGUUACAAGGGAAGAGGAUGAAUGAUUUGAAUAUUUUGGAUUUUAAAAUUUUUGGUGAGUUUCAUGGUAAUGGAG